ACUUGAUGGGUCCUGAAUGGAUCCUCUCUUCCUUUGCUCACAGAAGGUUUUGUGAUGAUGCCGACAACCAGGGCUGCCCUUGCCUUCCUUCGAAUUGCCAAAGCAGUCAGGAAUCUUCUGCCCUUAGAGUAUAUUGUGGGGUCCUCCCUCCACACCCUUGCUGAUAGAGCUCUGGAGAGGGCCUUUGGGGAGCAUGUGACUAUCCCCGGCAUAGUCGCCCCCCAUCAACACUUACUGUAGGGAAGGAAAGAAGCCAAACGUCUUACUGUCACAUUUUACAGAUGAGGAGAUGGGCACAGAGAAGUUCAGCAACGUGGCUCAGGUCGAAUGCUUGUGAUUUUUAUUUUUGUUGUUUUUUUGCUUGUGAUUUUUAUGUCUUACACAUUGCCUGGUGCCCUUCUGAAAGAAUUCCACAUUGGAAACUUUGGGACAUGAAGCCAUUUACCAAUCAGGUCAUAUGUCUAGGGAGACACUGUUGCUAUAGGUGUCAAGAAGUUUUGCUCCAGAAAAAUGUCCAGACCAAUUCUGCUUCCCAAGUAGGCCAGGAUAUCCACAGGACACCUUGAAACAGUGACUCCCUCCUGCAUUUUGUUGAUUGAUUGAUUGAUUUUUGAGACAGGGUCCUGCUCUGUCACCCAGGAUGGGGUGCAGUGGCUCAAUCUCAGUUCACUGCAACCUCUACCUCUCUGGUUUAAGUGAUUCUCUGGCCUCAGCCUCCCGAGUAGCUGGGACUACAGGCAUGCACCACCACAUCCGGCUAAUUUUUGUAUUUUUAGCAGAGAUGGGGUUUCACCAUAUUGGCCAGGCUGGUCUUGAACUCAAGAUGAUUCACCCACCUCAGCCUCUCAAAGUGCUGGGAUUACAGUCUCGGGUAUGUCAUUAUCAGCAGUGUGAAAAUGGACUCACUCCCACCCUGUCUGGAUCUGGACAAGAGCCCACCACCCUGUUGGCAGUAGUCAGGCAGCUCUGCUCCUAAGAACCUGCAGCUUUUAGAAGAAAGGCACCCUGUGGUUUCAGAAGCCCAAGAGUCCCUGCAGCUCAGCACCUCCAGCCUGGUGCUUGGCAGAUAAUUGGCUCCUCACUUAGGAGAGGGAGCAGAAAACUGUGUAUUCUUCAGAACAUCAUGAUAACCUGGCAUUCAUGGGUCUAUGGAGAGAAUUCAGGGGGUCUGGGAGCUUGGAUGGGAUAAAUUUGCAUCUUUAUUUUCAGGAAAGUUUUACUGAAGUUUAGCAUUUUCUUUCAUUAUAAAUGGAACAGUACAACCCAAUAGUAUGCACAGUUACUUCUCCACAACGUUAAAGUGGCUGCAGGUAUCUCAAAAUAUUAUUUACAUUUAUCAUAACUUAGAAAUUUGGGUGGUAAUUAAACCAGCAACUAUUCUUUGUUUAAUGCAUUAAGAAAGAAGUAUGUAUACUAUCAUAUCUCAAUUAAAAAUAUUUUAAGAACUGGA
Molecule: long non-coding RNA, 1450 nt
Organism: Gorilla gorilla gorilla (western lowland gorilla)
Lineage: Eukaryota; Metazoa; Chordata; Mammalia; Primates; Hominidae
Exons: 3
Source: RefSeq, a predicted model, not a curated record